GACGAACGCUGGCGGCGUGCCUAAUACAUGCAAGUCGUGCGGACCUUGUUGAAAGCUUGCUUUUAAAAGGUUAGCGGCGGACGGGUGAGUAACACGUGGGCAACCUGCCUGUAAGACUGGGAUAACGCCGGGAAACCGGGGCUAAUACCAGAUCGUUUUUUCCUCCGCAUGGAGGAAAAAGGAAAGGCGGCUUCGGCUGCCACUUACAGAUGGGCCCGCGGCGCAUUAGCUAGUUGGCGGGGUAAUGGCCCACCAAGGCAACGAUGCGUAGCCGACCUGAGAAGGUGAUCGGCCACAUUGGGACUGGGACACGGCCCAAACUCCUACGGGAGGCAGCAGUAGGGAAUCUUCCGGAAUGGACGAAAGUCUGACGGAGCAAAGCCGCGUGAGUGAAGAAGGCCUUCGGGUCGUAAAACUCUGUUGCCGGGGAAGAACAAGUGCCGUUCGAACAGGGCGGCGCCUUGACGGUACCCGGCCAGAAAGCCACGGCUAACUACGUG
This 500-nucleotide ribosomal RNA is filed under the name uncultured bacterium. RNAcentral's name for it is "partial 16S ribosomal RNA". It matches the Rfam family "Bacterial small subunit ribosomal RNA", at positions 28 to 507 of the family's 1533-position model. The record is from RNAcentral.